RNAcentral lists this ribosomal RNA (506 nucleotides) under uncultured Verrucomicrobiota bacterium. RNAcentral's name for it is "bacterial SSU rRNA". It matches the Rfam family "Bacterial small subunit ribosomal RNA", at positions 9 to 516 of the family's 1533-position model. The record is from RNAcentral. Lineage: Bacteria; Pseudomonadati; Verrucomicrobiota.
GUGGUUUGAUCCUGGCUCACACUGAACGCUGGCGGCCUGCUUAACACAUGCCCGUCAAGCGACACCAUGAAUACUGAAGCGUACAACGGGUGCGUAACCCUUGAGCAAUCUGCCCUGAAGGCUGGAGUAUGCCUGCGAAGCUAAGAUUAAUACCGGAUGGCGAACAGUCAGGCAUCGGAUUCUUUCCCAAGCUUGUAACGGCGCUUCAUGAUGAGCUAGCGGCCUAUCAUCUACUUGGUGAGGUAACGGCUCACCACCGCUAAGACGGGCAACUGGUCUGAGAUGAUGAUCAGACACACUGGAACUGACACACGGUCCUCACACCUACGGGUGGCAUCCCUUUCGAAUCUCUCACAAUGGGGGCAACCCUGAUGGCGCGACUCCCCCUGCUGCAUGAACGUCUUCGGAUUGUAAACUCCUGUCAUUGUGUUACUAAUGGCCAGGCUCAUACCCUCUGUUUGAAUGAUCCCACCCAGGAAGCGAUGUCUAACUCUGUGCCAGCCGCC